This 505-nucleotide ribosomal RNA is filed under the name uncultured bacterium. RNAcentral describes it as "partial 16S ribosomal RNA". It matches the Rfam family "Bacterial small subunit ribosomal RNA", at positions 28 to 507 of the family's 1533-position model. The record is from RNAcentral.
GACGAACGCUGGCGGCGUGCCUAAUACAUGCAAGUAGAACGCACAGUUUAUACCGUAGCUUGCUACACCAUAGACUGUGAGUUGCGAACGGGUGAGUAACGCGUAGGUAACCUGCCUGGUAGCGGGGGAUAACUAUUGGAAACGAUAGCUAAUACCGCAUAAUAUUAAUUAUUGCAUGAUAAUUAAUUGAAAGGUGCAAUUGCACCACUACCAGAUGGACCUGCGUUGUAUUGGCUAGUAGGUGAGGUAACGGCUCACCUAGGCGACGAUACAUAGCCGACCUGAGAGGGUGAUCGGCCACACUGGGACUGAGACACGGCCCAGACUCCUACGGGAGGCAGCAGUAGGGAAUCUUCGGCAAUGGACGAAAGUCUGACCGAGCAACGCCGCGUGAGUGAAGAAGGCUUUCGGAUCGUAAAGCUCUGUUGUAAGAGAAGAACGGGUGUGAGAGUGGAAAGUUCACACUGUGACGGUAUCUUACCAGAAAGGGACGGCUAACUACGUG